RNAcentral lists this long non-coding RNA (249 nucleotides) under Elaeis guineensis (African oil palm). RNAcentral describes it as "long non-coding RNA (EGUI_LNC053826)". Lineage: Eukaryota; Viridiplantae; Streptophyta; Magnoliopsida; Arecales; Arecaceae. The record is from RNAcentral.
CAGAUCUAAUCUCUUUGUUGUAUGACCCCAUAGGUUCAAUUCUAUCUGUUAGUGAGAUAUACAGUGAUCUCUAUCAAAGUAUCAUUGAAACUCUUUUCAAUGGGUCGGAAUAAUUCUACUCUAACUCAUCAAAGAUUGUCAAUCCAGAGCAACCCUAGUGAGCCCUUAUAAUCUACCAGUGAUACUGUUGCCCAGCUAUGCAACCCAAGAGGGGGGGGUGAAUUGGGUUUCUAAAAUUUUAAGCCCAAC